AUGUUCUUUGAAUGUGUGGUAGCCAUGGAAAUUUGGAGAAAUAUCCAUUCCAUUUUAGGUUACUCACAUCUGCCUGCCCUUAAUAAAGUGGCGGAAAUGUGGAGUAGACAUAAUAACUUGCAAGCUAAAAAUCUGGUUAUUUCAGCUACUCUCUGGGCUAUCUGGAGAUGCAGAAAUGACUUGUGUUUUAAUAACGCAAUUUGGAUGGGUGUGCAGAUGGUUCUGAGAAAGAUUGCAGGAUACUGCAGCAUCUGGAAGAUCCUGUGCAAAGAGGUGGCAAGAGAGCGCGUGGAGGAGAUUACUGUAGCUAUCUGGGAGGCUGCAAGAAAACCACCGCUGCUGCUCUGGCCAGAGCCAGGCUGA
RNAcentral lists this ribosomal RNA (363 nucleotides) under Triticum aestivum (bread wheat). RNAcentral describes it as "partial small subunit ribosomal RNA". The record is from RNAcentral. Lineage: Eukaryota; Viridiplantae; Streptophyta; Magnoliopsida; Poales; Poaceae.